CGCGCGUCGCCCCUCAAUCGAAUUUUGUGUGCAACGCAGGUUUUGUGUGGUUUUGUUUCUCUACACGUCUUCUUUUUUCCCACCGCGUGCUGCGCCCUCGCAUCCUCUCGCAGCCCCCCCCCCGCCCUCGCUAGCAACUCCCCCUCCCUCUCGUCCCGCCAACCCCCUGCACCAGACCAUCUCUCCCUUAGGGAGACGCCCGAAGGGGGUGGUGGGUGGUGUUGGUGGUUGACGGCAAGAAGUGUGAACCACCCACAGCCACGCACGCCUCUACUGUCUUGUCCCUCGCCCGCCAUCACCAUCGCCACCACCACCAGCAGCCGUUGCGGGGUGGAGUACGGUGCACGGCGCGGUUGUUUCCCUCUCCUCUGCUGCUUGUUUGCUUUUUUCUUUCCGCGCGUUACUCGACUGCUGCGCUGCUGCGCGCCGGCGUUUCGAAUCACGAGAGGGAGAGAGGGAGGAGAGAAGGAGGCGGGGUGGGCCGCCACCACCCCUUUAUUGCUUGCUUUACUUUAGUUUCGUGGCGAUCACGGCAUUCGCCGCGUACAAAUUAACAGCAGCCCUGCUGUGCACUCCUCUUUCGUAUUUCUGCGGCACCACUCCACUUCAUACACGUGCACGCACGUCACCUCCGCGUGAACUAUCUACCCCCGUCAUCUACCACCACCGCGCCGCUCUCCCGUUGCCCGCGGUGUUGUUGGAAGGUCACCGCGGUGGUGUCGGCAAGAAGAGAGACACACGUAUUCCGGGGCUCGCUCACACGUGGCAGACCAUCAAAGCAGCAGAGCAGCGGAAUCGGCUAACGAGGAUGGGGUGCAGGGCGUCUGCGUCUCGUAACAGGGAGUCGUCGCACGGGAGCAGGGCAGCGUCACUCGGGGUUUCGGCCUUGCCAAGCACCCAUGCGGGCACGCGGCGCGCGCCGAAGAACUGGCUGUCGACCUCGCCGCGCCGCAGCAGCCGCAGGGAGGCAGACGUUGGCAAAGCCAGCAGCGGCCGCACCAGGAAUGGGGAGCCCGGUCUUCAGCAGUGCGUGUACACGCAGGACGACAACCCCCUCUUGCCACCACCGCCUCUGUCGCCGGAAAUGGUUCAUCAGGGCAACAGCACCCUCGUCAGAAGCGCCUCCCCGACCAGCGGACGUAUGAAACGAAUUCCAAGCCCCCGACGCUAUCCGUCAGACAGCGCCUCUCCGCGCGUGAAGGACGGUUUCAGGAAUCACGACAGUGCGGUCCUAGAACGACUGCACAAAGAACGACCCGAGAACCACUUUGAUCCGUUACUGAUGCCGGACGUGCUGCAUCGGCAGGAGUCGACGGGUUCCCGGGCAGCCAGCAGCAGCCUGCCAUCGCGACCGUCGUCGUACAUUGCCACGUUGGACAGCGAGGACCACAACGCCACCUUUCGGACGGAGAUCAACUCACACGACAAGACCGACUCCGCGCAAGCCGCCAAGGAAUACCAGCAGCACGUGCAGGCCAGGCGGAGCGCACAGGCCGCGCACACGAAGCGGCGUCAACUGGAGGAGUUCGACCCCGUAAGGCCAAUGGACAGCUUCAACGUGACGCACCGUGGCUUGCUCGGGCGGUGCUGGGACCGACGCGGGCCGGAGCUGAUUCCAGUCUCCUUCGUGCACGCCGUGGAGGCGGCGCUGCGGGCUGCCGAGGAGACGCAUCCGGCCAGCAUGACCACCUCGCACCCGGCCGGGGCGGAGACCGGGAGAGACGAGUUCACGCCUGUCUCACCACGCGUCUCCUUGUCGCCGCUGAGCCACGCCAGUGCACACUUUUCCGGUUUCGCAGGAGGCAGCGCGCCGUCGCAGCCAAUUCCGUGCUCACCACGAGGUGCUGGCUUCGGCGGGCGUCGCGUGCCACGCCGCUCGCACUGGUUCAGCGUUGGCGGCGUCAGCUGCGACACAAUGUGCCCACCUGUCAACGGCAGCGGCCUGGGUAGCCAGGCAGGAGCGAGCAUCGUGUCAUCCUACUGCAUGAACAGCGGCGUCUCGUCCCCGAUUACGGCAUGGCCCGGUGCGAGCGGCCCAGGGUUUCCGCUGCCGACCGCGUCACCGGCGCUGAACCGAGCAGGCGCUGCUGUGGUGAGAGGCAAGGCCAAAUCCUUCACGGCCACCGCGGCCUCCUCGCCGGCAGUCUACGGUGGCGCCAUCGAUAGCCUCUCCAACGACGGGGACAGCGGCGCCGCGAACCCGCGUCAGUCUCUAACAGCGGAGCAGAUCUCCGCACUGCCGAUGGAAAAGCGCGAGCAGUACUACAAUGACUUCCUCAGCCGUAACCCGCUCUUCAUGGGGAUCAAGGACUGCUUCGCCUUCCGCCUCUCGGAUGGGGUCAGCGAAGACCCGACCACCAAGUUCCUGCGCAAGCGGAACCUCGAGCCGGCACCUGGAGUAGUGGCCAUGCGAUGGAAUCGAGUCGAGUUCUUCCACACUACCCUGCACACGCUUAUCCGCGCCGUGGCCAUGACGCAGGGCAUGACGCUCAACGUAGGCCACGCAGAGCUGCUGCAGCAGGCGAGCGGCACCGGUCCAAGACAACCCGGCAUGCAACACAGCCGUCUGUCACCCUCAGCCUCCACGAAUCACAUGCUGCAUGUCACUGGUGAGGACGGCGGCGCCAUCGCAGAGAUGCUGUUGCGGCACUCGUUCAGUCAGUAUGUCUUGUCCUACAUAGAGAACGGCAGCUUCUCGCGCGGCAGCGGCAGUCUGAGCAACUCUUUCUUGUCCCAAUCAGACAAGCUGCGCGGCGCCGGCGACGGCUCUGGCAGCCACCUCAGCAACUCUCUUCUCAGCCCUCCGCGCAACCGCGCCCACCGCCCCGACAAGAACGGCAGCGGCGAGGCCGGAGCCUUUGCAGCUGCCAAGUUCCCGGAAGACAGCGUGCUGGCGCUCGCGCUCUGUAUUCCGAGUUCGCGUCUGCCAUCGCUGAUGGGGGCGCUACCGCCACCUCAGCUGAGCGGCGUCGGUCGCUCGAGUAGCUACUCAGCAUCCGCAGCCGCUCCGAAGACCUCUCGUGACGGCGACGGCAGCCCGGCGGCGUCGCCAGGCCCCUCCGGCGCACCGCAUGGUGCCUUCACACGUGCCGGAUCGGACGGAAGCGUGCUGGUCGCCUUCAGCGUGAGCAGCUUCAGCGUCUCUAUCGACCCCUUCCGCUGGCAGGAGCACCGCUAUAUCCGGUAUCCUAUCGACAUGGAUGACUCGAAGAAGUCAUCUCGGCACACAUACGGUGAGGGUGUCGUGACGGACGUCAUGUACGGCGGCAUCAUGUUUGUGGAAGCCUCGUCGUUCACGGCGGUGAGGGAGUUGCAGACACUGCUGGCCGGCAUGACGUGGACGGAGGGCCGCACGUUGAGCGGCGUCGUCGGCGACGUGCGCAAGCACCUUAAAGUCUUUCAAGGAAAUGGCAACAAGGUGCGGCAGGCAACAUCACCGCAGCAGCAGCAGGCUGAGGAACAGAAUAGUCACCGGUACCGUAUCUGCCGCCGCGUCGGUGGCCGCCCCAUGCGCGAUGCGGUGGAGCUGCAAGAGAUAUCCUACUACCUCGACGAUGUCGAGGUGCGCGAAGAGAUUGUGACGCUGAACCGGCCCAUACGGUCAGGCGACGUCACCGCAGCGAGAGGUGCUGCGGCCGGGCCUGGCGGGGUGGCGGGCAGCUCCGUUGACUGCUUCGAGUCGAAGCACACCUGUCAUGGCAACAGCCUCGCAGCUGACCCGGACGUCUCGCCAUCCUUUUCGCGCGUGGCCUCCGUGUGGGUGACACUGCCCGUCAUCGCAGCCGUACUGCGCACCUGGGCCCUGCACCUACUCUCAAAUCCCGAAUUUGCGCAGCCGAUAGCAUUGUUCCUGCAGAAAUACGCCGGCAUCGCGCCGGUGUUGCAGACGACCGCCCUCGGCGCCCUCCAUCAUGACGACGACACACCAAGCGAGGAGGUCGGCGACGACGUCGACUACCUCUUCUUCGAAGGCGGCAGCCCGGCCGUCACAGUGCCGGCUGCUGCCGCCGUCGACGCCACCCAUCCGCAGCCCGCGCCGCGGAUUCCAAAGUUCAACCGCUUUUACGCAUCGAAGCCCAGCACUCCUCUGUUCACAGCGGACGAGCACCACGCCAGUCAUCCCGGUGCCGCGUCACAUUCGCCCGCCAACAUGCACAGGAGCAGCAACAUGGCGCUGGAUGAGCAAGGUGCCAGCGGCGCAGACGGUAACCAGCCGUCGCUCAAGAAACCUGGUGAGGACACGUGUGUCGGGCUCGGUACUAAAAGUCAAAGUCCGGAAGCGUUGAAAGGCGAGGCAACCCACUUAGCGGACAGCGUGAGCAGCUGCUGUACGGCGUCGGAGGCGAAAUCGGGCGGCGACCGGCAGAGCAGCCACGCUCCGAGCUCCAUCGAUACAGAGAAGGACCAGUGCGACAGCGUCAGGGGCAAGAUCUGCGGCACGAAGCGCAAGCGCGUCGUCGGCAAGCCAUCCGGCGCUGCCAACGAAGGCACUGAGGGCGCUCCGCGGACGCUGCAGUGCGGAUCGAAGGGUAACAAGGCGGAGCCCAACCGCGCGACUAACAGGAAAUCGGUCAGCACCCGCCCCGCUACGCAGUGCAACUCGCCGCUCUCUCCCAGGAGCGGCACACGACCGCAAUCGCGCCGCAACGACGCGGGCGGCGAUCAGGGCAGCCCUACGUCAUCAUCGUCCUUCUCCUUCCCCAGCUCUCCAGCCGCGACGAAGGCCGGCACGAACGACUUCCAAGGAAACCUGAGCAGCCUGGUGACCAGCAGCUGCAACACGCCGUGCCUGCCGGGCAACAGGCUGCACCAGUCUACAUUCCAGAACUUCUCGCACAGCCGCCUGAGCAGGUCCACGUCGGCGCCGUCACCGUUGAUGCCAGUUGCCGGGGGCAAGGGCACGCUCAGGACAUCGGUGCCGCCGACUCCGCUGCUCACGGCGGUCAGCUGCGUUGCCGCGCUGCCCACGCUGAGCGCUCUUACCUUUGAUAACGCCCCUGUCGAGGCGGCCAGCGCCGAGCCGAGUGUCAUGGCCUCCACGGUGGGCCCGGAGAGCUCGGCGGCGGCUGUGGCCUCAGGCAAGAAGAUAGGUCCGGAUGCGGUACAGGAGGUCUCUAAGGUAGCGUUCCGCUCGCCGCACUCCCCCCGCGAGCCCAAGACUCACCUCACUAUGGCGAACAGCGGCGUGAACAGCAGAGGGGCAGAGACGCCACUGGCACACAGAGACAAGGUCACGGCAGCGCCGUCAACCGUAUCGGCAGCGGCGGCGGCCCCUUCGCUGCCGUUGCCGCUGCCGCCGAAGGCAGGAAGGGCCAAAAUAAUCGCAACCCCCACGAACACGACAGCGCCGAAGGGCACCUCUGCGGCGACCAUCGUUGCUAUGGCGACCAAGCUCAGAGGUGUCACAGCCACUUCAACGCGCAGAAAGGCGGUAGGGGCCGUCAAGAGGGCACCGGCGCUGGUCAAGCACGCGCGGAUGUCCGUCACGCAUUUCGUGGAGAGUGAGCAGCGCGCGUGCGACUCUCCGUCAUCGCCCGGUGCGAGCGUGCUCAGCACGGGAAUCACGGUGAACAGCGCCGAAACCCCAACGGCGUACCGGGCCACCGAGAACGAGGAAGAAGAGAUGUGGCACAUGGCCAUGCUGGAGGUGAAGGCGCAGCAGCAGGAGCUCGAAGAGCUGCGCCAGGCACGCCGCGACGCCGAGGACGCAGCGAAGCAGCGGGAAGACUUGCUUCGCUCCCUCAACCGUAUUCUGCUGCCGCACACCGCCCCGCAGGAGCUCGACGGGGUGCUGCUGUACUUGAAGACGGCCAUCUACGAACCAGAGGACAUGCCGCAUGGCCGCCUCUUUCUUCAGCAGCCGAGCUGGCUGCCGAUGCUGGUCGCCGUCUGGACGGCCCCGGCAAAUCGCAUCCGCACGGUCGAAAUAGCGGCGGAGCUGACCUGGGUAGAUAUCCCACGCCUCGGUCUUGUUGCAGGCCUGCUGUACCACCAGUACGCGUCAGGGCCUCUGGAGGAACUGAUCAUACGGGCCGACAAGCUGCUCGGAUCUCCCCAGACGACUGCGACGCUGCCGAACAACUACGGUCUUUACGCGGACCUCGCAGACAAAACGGCAGCACGGCCCAGGAAGCCGCGCCUGCUGGCCGGCCGAUCCCGCAAGUCCAAGCGUGGCAACAACAAAGGUCGCAGCGCCGACGCCAACCGAGGCAGCAGCAACUUGAACUUCACGACGGAGCUAGAUCAGAUGACCAGCGGCUUUGGCCCGGGGUGUCCACCGUUCGUCAUCACACCCGAGGAGGCCCGUGACACGCUGUGGUUGCUGCUGUGCUCCGUGGCGGCGAACAUGAGGGUCCCGACGUUCCGCGUAGUGCUUCGCGGGCUGCCAACGGGUGAAAUCAGCGCCGCCGCCAGCGGCAGCGGUGCUGGCCGCGUUCGCAGCCACGGCAGAGACCGCACCCCCUUCACAUACCUUGCCUCCUUCUUCGCCGGGGCAAUCUCACGCUUCCGCGACGAGCAUGACGACACGCAGCUCCUGCUCAAGUCCCGCUCCAUGGUGCUGGACAACUUCGUCGUAUGCCCAGGCUCGCGGCUAGGGUCCGACCGAGAUAUGCACAGCUCCGCGCAGAGGUCGGACAGCAGCGGCCUUGGCACCAGCACGACGCACCACAACACCGCCUACGACGAAGGCCAACUGAUCUGCACCAACGGUUCACUGCAGCUAGACGAGGACGGGACUGCGUGGUCGUCCUCCAUGUCAGAGCGAAAGGCCGGCGGCACGCUUCGGCAGACAUCGUCCUUGGUGAUCAUGUCCUUACCCGCAGCAGCGUCGGCAGACAUGGGUGAGGCGGCGCGCUCGCCGGAUCGGCACAGGUGCAACUCGAACAGCACCUUCGCAGCUGUGCGCCCCGUCGCCGCGCCCACCCCAUGUACUGGUGAGGCUUCUGCAGGUGUGUCGAUCAGCGGAGGAGGCGAUGGCGCGGCUCGAGCGAUUGAGGUCGUGCAGACGCACCAGCAUCGCGUGCAGCGCCACCGUGCGUGGGUGCGCAACGGUAACGACGUCGAGGAGCGACCCUUCUACGAGCUGCUGGUGCACCGCUGCGAUGCAGUCGGGGAAGCCACAACGGCUACCGAAAACGAUACCGACGAUGCGCGCUUCUACGCGGAACCUGACCCACAGCAGCGCCUGCAAGAAGCCGUCGGUCAGCUGGGGGCGCCGUCUCGGCUGUGGCAGAGCCCACCGCCGUCCCCGCCGCCACGCCACUUGCCUGGCAGCGGUUUUGCUCGUGGGCUGCGGACGGCGGAAGAUGAGCAGGUGGCUCUGCAGAGCGAGGUGGCCGCGCUGCGCGAGCGGGCAGGCGACAUCUGGGAGGCUCUGCGCAAGUCGGUCAAGCACUACAACCAACUCCAGAUGGAGGCCCAUCAUAAGGUGAUGAAGCAGAAUGGCGGAAGCCAAUCACCCUCGUCACCGCCUCCGCAGCCGCCGCGGCAGAUUGUGUUGGAGUACUAGUCGUUUGGUUCGAGUCGUGGGGUGGGGAGAGGCCAGCAAAGAGAGAGACGUGUGCAGCUGGGCAAGGGCGGGAUGCUGUACACGCACGCACUCGAUAUGCGCGGGACGUCAGACGGAGACCGAGUGGCAACGGCCCUGCGGACACCGAACCGCAGAACCAGAAAAAGAAAGGGGUCGGUGUCGAAGAUGUCGCAUAGGAGUUGCUCCCCACGGGGCAACUCGCUAGCACCCAAGAACAAGGACAAGUAGGGCCGCGGCACGUCUUGUGAGUUUUCAUCCGUUCUUCUGUCUCCUUGCAUGCGUCUGCGGAUGUCUCUGUACGGCACACU
This 7839-nucleotide unclassified non-coding RNA is filed under the name Leishmania donovani. Its description in RNAcentral is "gene:LdHU3.16.1610(CDS-product:hypothetical_prote in_conserved)". The record is from RNAcentral. Lineage: Eukaryota; Euglenozoa; Kinetoplastea; Trypanosomatida; Trypanosomatidae.